UUACCAUGCAAGUCGAACGCACUCUUCGGAGUGAGUGGCAGACGGGUGAGUAAUGCGUGGGAAUCUACCUAGUUCUACGGAAUAACAGUUGGAAACGACUGCUAAUACCGUAUACGCCCUACGGGGGAAAGAUUUAUCGGAAUUAGAUGAGCCCACGUAAGAUUAGCUAGUUGGUGAGGUAAUGGCUCACCAAGGCGACGAUCUUUAGCUGGUCUGAGAGGAUGAUCAGCCACACUGGGACUGAGACACGGCCCAGACUCCUACGGGAGGCAGCAGUGGGGAAUAUUGGACAAUGGGCGCAAGCCUGAUCCAGCCAUGCCGCGUGAGUGAUGAAGGCCUUAGGGUUGUAAAGCUCUUUCAGUGGGGAAGAUAAUGACGGUACCCACAGAAGAAGCCCCGGCUAACUUCGUGCCAGCA
RNAcentral lists this ribosomal RNA (417 nucleotides) under uncultured bacterium. RNAcentral describes it as "bacterial SSU rRNA". It matches the Rfam family "Bacterial small subunit ribosomal RNA", at positions 49 to 513 of the family's 1533-position model. The record is from RNAcentral.